GUAACUUCAAUCUCUCAUUUCUAAAAUAAAACAGAAAUAUUAAUUUGUGGUCAGAAAUAGCAACAAAGUAUACUUUCUAUUAAAGUAUGAGAACAACUUUGCAAAACUAUCCUUGGUAGUACUUUUGCAGUAUAUCAGAAAUGUUUCUUUUUUUGGUCAUCUUCUGACUACACUGUGAACCGAAUUAGUUACCUUAAAAAAAUAAAAGUUUUACUGGCUAUUUGCCUGUAAACAGACAUUCUUCUACCCCGGAGCAACAACAGAAGCUAAGAUCCCUAAAUGAAAAGAUGCUGUCCUCUCUCACCAUGGCUUUCCAUAAUUAGGAAUUUGGUCAGGAAUAAGAAUAACUUGAUUAUAGUCCAUGUUAUCAGACUCCUGUCAACGUCUUUCUCUCUUCCACAUGUUGAAUGACUUCCUGACUUAUUUUCUGUGUAUAUGUAAUGUUUGGCUGCCAUCUUGUGUGCAAUAACUCUUGGUUAUCAGAUCUUUUCUUCCUGUUACAUCAGAUAAUUCUUCUUAUUAUUUAAACUGUGCUUCUCCUGACUAACUUCUCUUUAGUUUCCUUUUCACUUUAGGCUACCAUGGGCAUAUUUUAAUCUUUUACAAUUCAUAAUUAAUUUUCACAUUCAGCCUAAUAGCUAAAU
This 644-nucleotide long non-coding RNA is filed under the name Bos taurus (domestic cattle). RNAcentral's name for it is "long non-coding RNA NONBTAT000155". Lineage: Eukaryota; Metazoa; Chordata; Mammalia; Artiodactyla; Bovidae. The record is from RNAcentral.